AGUGAACGCUGGCGGUAGGCCUAACACAUGCAAGUCGAACGGCAGCACAGUAAGAGCUUGCUCUUACGGGUGGCGAGUGGCGGACGGGUGAGGAAUACAUCGGAAUCUACUUUUUCGUGGGGGAUAACGUAGGGAAACUUACGCUAAUACCGCAUACGACCUACGGGUGAAAGCAGGGGAUCUUCGGACCUUGCGCGAUUGAAUGAGCCGAUGUCGGAUUAGCUAGUUGGCGGGGUAAAGUCCCACCAAGGCGACGAUCCGUAGCUGGUCUGAGAGGAUGAUCAGCCACACUGGAACGGAGACACGGUCCAGACUCCUACGGGAGGCAGCAGUGGGGAAUAUUGGACAAUGGGCGCAAGCAUGAUCCAGCCAUACCGCGUGGGUGAAGAAGGCCUUCGGGUUGUAAAGCCCUUUUGUUGGGAAAGAAAAGCAGCAGGUUAAUACCCCGCUGUUCUGACGGUACCCAAAGAAUAAGCACCGGCUAACUUCGUG
Molecule: ribosomal RNA, 492 nt
Filed under: uncultured bacterium
Lineage: Bacteria
Description: partial 16S ribosomal RNA
Rfam family: Bacterial small subunit ribosomal RNA
Source: RNAcentral